Molecule: ribosomal RNA, 403 nt
Filed under: uncultured bacterium
Lineage: Bacteria
Description: bacterial SSU rRNA
Rfam family: Bacterial small subunit ribosomal RNA
Source: RNAcentral
GGGGAAUAUUGGGCAAUGGGCGAAAGCCUGACCCAGCAACGCCGCGUGAGGGAAGAAGGUCUUCGGAUUGUAAACCUCUGUCCUUGGGGAAGAAAAAAAUGACGGUACCCAGGGAGGAAGCCCCGGCUAACUACGUGCCAGCAGCCGCGGUAAUACGUAGGGGGCAAGCGUUGUCCGGAAUUACUGGGCGUAAAGGGUGCGUAGGCGGUUGUCUAAGUCAGAUGUGAAAUCCCCGGGCUUAACUCGGGUGGUGCAUUUGAAACUGGGUAACUAGAGUGCAGGAGAGGGAAGCGGAAUUCCUAGUGUAGCGGUGAAAUGCGUAGAUAUUAGGAGGAACACCAGUGGCGAAGGCGGCUUUCUGGACUGUAACUGACGCUGAGGCACGAAAGCGUGGGGAGCAAAC